UAUUGGCUGUGGUUGAGUGAAUUUCAGCAGUUGCACAUGAUUUCCAAAAGAGCAAUUUUCUGAGUUUUUGAGUAGGGCGUUGUUGUACGCUUAAAUAUAGUUACAAGGGAUUUUUUUCCUUGUGCAUUGAUGUCUCGAGUAAACUGUAAACUCUAUAAUUCAUAAGACUGGUGUCUCGAGUAAACUGUAGACUCAUUUCAUAAGAA
RNAcentral lists this unclassified non-coding RNA (206 nucleotides) under Hevea brasiliensis (rubber tree). The record is from RNAcentral. Lineage: Eukaryota; Viridiplantae; Streptophyta; Magnoliopsida; Malpighiales; Euphorbiaceae.